This 417-nucleotide ribosomal RNA is filed under the name uncultured bacterium. RNAcentral's name for it is "partial 16S ribosomal RNA". It matches the Rfam family "Bacterial small subunit ribosomal RNA", at positions 360 to 774 of the family's 1533-position model. The record is from RNAcentral.
AAUAUUGGUCAAUGGAGGCAACUCUGAACCAGUCACGUCGCGUUAAGGAUGACGGCCCUACGGGUUGUAAACUUCUUUUAGACAGGAAUAAAGUUAGUCACGUGUGACUUUUUGCAUGUACUGUAUGAAUUAGGAUCGGCUAGCUACGUGCCAGCAGCCGCGGUAAUACGGAGGAUCCAAGCGUUAUCCGGAUUUAUUGGGUUUAAAGGGUGCGCAGGCGGAAGAUUAAGUCGGCGGUGAAAUUUUGAAGCUAAACUGUAAAAGUGCCAUCGAUACUGGUUUUCUUGAGUGUGGAUGAAGUAGGCGGAAUUUGUGGUGUAGCGGUGAAAUGCAUAGAUAUCACGAGGAACUCCGAUUGCGCAGGCAGCUUACUAGGCCAUAACUGACGCUCAGGCACGAAGGCGUGGGGAUCAAACA